GUGAGGAAUAUUGGACAAUGGGCGCAAGCCUGAUCCAGCCAUGCCGCGUGCAGGAAGACGCAUCUAUGUUGUGUAAACUGCUUUUGUACGGGAAGAAACACUCCCUCGUGAGGGAGCUUGAUGGUACCGUAAGAAUAAGGAUCUGCUAACUCCGUGCCAGCAGCCGCGGUAAUACGGAGGAUCCAAGCGUUAUCCGGAAUCAUUGGGUUUAAAGGGUCCGGAGGAGGUUUAAUAAGUCAGAGGUGAAAGCCCAUCGCUCAACGAUGGAACGGCCAUUGAUACUGUUAGACUUGAAGUACAAGGAAGUAACUAGAAUAUGUAGUGUAGCGGUGAAAUGCUUAGAUAUUACAUGGAAUACCAAUUGCGAAGGCAGGUUACUACUUGUGGAUUGACGCUGAUGGACGAAAGCGUGGGGAGCGAACAGGAUUAGAAACCCCAGUAGUCC
This 445-nucleotide ribosomal RNA is filed under the name uncultured bacterium. RNAcentral describes it as "partial 16S ribosomal RNA". It matches the Rfam family "Bacterial small subunit ribosomal RNA", at positions 354 to 796 of the family's 1533-position model. The record is from RNAcentral.